RNAcentral lists this non-coding RNA (222 nucleotides) under Oceanobacillus oncorhynchi. RNAcentral's name for it is "T-box sequence". It matches the Rfam family "T-box leader". From Rfam's summary of the family: Uncharged tRNA acts as the effector for transcription antitermination of genes in the T-box leader family. T-boxes are found upstream of many aminoacyl-tRNA synthetase genes and some amino acid biosynthetic genes usually in Gram-positive bacteria. The anticodon of a specific tRNA base pairs to a specifier sequence within the T-box motif, and the NCCA acceptor tail of the tRNA base pairs to a conserved bulge in the T-box antiterminator hairpin. Lineage: Bacteria; Bacillati; Bacillota; Bacilli; Caryophanales; Bacillaceae. The record is from RNAcentral.
UAAAAACCAUUGAAGGAAAAAGUAAUGUAAGUACAGAUAGCAAGAGAGUAGUUGUCAACGGCUGGAAGCAACUAUCUAUACGACUUAUAUGAAAGACAUUCUGGAGGAGUUAUAUCGAAAUAGAUGAGUAGAUAUAAACGUGUUGCAGGCGUUAACUGAUAAAGGUGGAUAUCAUUCAGAUAUCAACUAGGGUGGCAACGCGGGUAAAAACCCGUCCCUUAU